Molecule: non-coding RNA, 61 nt
Filed under: Plasmodium falciparum 3D7
Lineage: Eukaryota; Apicomplexa; Aconoidasida; Haemosporida; Plasmodiidae
Source: RNAcentral
CACCUACGCCAAGAUCGGUAGUUAAAAAUAAUUUAUCAUGAGAUUUAUUAAGUUGUGUGGG